This 480-nucleotide ribosomal RNA is filed under the name uncultured bacterium. RNAcentral describes it as "partial 16S ribosomal RNA". It matches the Rfam family "Bacterial small subunit ribosomal RNA", at positions 28 to 507 of the family's 1533-position model. The record is from RNAcentral.
GACGAACGCUGGCGGCGCGCCUAACACAUGCAAGUCGAGCGAUGAAAUUUUAACCGAUCUCUUCGGAGAGAAGAUAAAAUGGAUUAGCGGCGGACGGGUGAGUAACACGUGAGAAACCUGCCUUUCACAAGGGGAUAGCCUCGGGAAACCGGCAUUAAUACCCUAUGACACAUUUCCUUCGCAUGGAAGAAAUGUUAAAACUCCGGUGGUGAAAGAUGGUCUCGCGCCUGAUUAGCUAGUUGGUGGGGUAACGGCCCACCAAGGCCAUGAUCAGUAACCGGCCUGAGAGGGUGAACGGUCACAUUGGAACUGAGACACGGUCCAAACUCCUACGGGAGGCAGCAGUGGGGAAUAUUGCACAAUGGAGGAAACUCUGAUGCAGCGACGCCGCGUGAGCGAUGAAGGCUUUCGAGUCGUAAAGCUCUGUCCUAUGGGAAGAUAAUGACGGUACCAUAGGAGGAAGCCCCGGCUAACUACGUG